This 484-nucleotide long non-coding RNA is filed under the name Apteryx owenii (little spotted kiwi). Its description in RNAcentral is "lncRNA (ENSAOWG00000019109.1)". The record is from RNAcentral. Lineage: Eukaryota; Metazoa; Chordata; Aves; Apterygiformes; Apterygidae.
AAGCGAGUAUGCAAGCAGUUAGACACCAUUCCAAAUGAGGCUGAUGUUUGCUUCAUUGAUUGUGCUAUGGAGUUGGAUUCUAAACAGAAAGUCUCCACUGACUGUGUUCCUCAAGCUGCAAAGACAAAUCAAGAUUCAAUGAUUUUUGAAAACCAUGGAAGCAGAGGUACUGCCCAGCCUUGCCCAAGAUGUAUUGCUGGAGAAUCUGGACACUUCAACCAUAUUCUGGGCUUCUAGAAAUUGAGAGAUGGCAAAUCAGCAACACUUUUUACAUUCUAAGGAUGCACAUGUGAACACUGUACUGCUGGAUAUCUGUACAUCCGUUCUACUAAUGGCGUGGACUUGUAUUUUUAGACUUUCUAAGAUAGCUGAGUUGUGGUGUUGGGGUUUGACACUUCAGUGGAUGCUCUGGGACAGGCAGCAGCGUUCCGAAGCUCAGAACCAACAGGCAGAAUGCCUCUGCGUUAGAGGCGGAUUGCUGUGA